AUUGAACGCUGGCGGCAGGCCUAACACAUGCAAGUCGAGCGGAUGAAGGGAGCUUGCUCCUGGAUUCAGCGGCGGACGGGUGAGUAAUGCCUAGGAAUCUGCCUGGUAGUGGGGGAUAACGUCCGGAAACGGGCGCUAAUACCGCAUACGUCCUGAGGGAGAAAGUGGGGGAUCUUCGGACCUCACGCUAUCAGAUGAGCCUAGGUCGGAUUAGCUAGCUGGUGGGGUAAAGGCCUACCAAGGCGACGAUCCGUAACUGGUCUGAGAGGAUGAUCAGGCAAACCGGAACUGAGAAACGGUCCAGACUCCUACGGGAGGCAGCAGUGGGGAAUAUUGGACAAAGGGCGAAAGCCUGAUCCAGCCAUGCCGCGUGUGUGAAGAAGGUCUUCGGAUUGUAAAGCACUUUAAGUUGGGAGGAAGGGCAGUAAGUUAAUACCUUGCUGUUUUGACGUUACCAACAGAAUAAGCACCGGCUAACUUCGUG
RNAcentral lists this ribosomal RNA (484 nucleotides) under uncultured bacterium. RNAcentral's name for it is "partial 16S ribosomal RNA". It matches the Rfam family "Bacterial small subunit ribosomal RNA", at positions 30 to 507 of the family's 1533-position model. The record is from RNAcentral.